RNAcentral lists this ribosomal RNA (498 nucleotides) under uncultured bacterium. RNAcentral describes it as "bacterial SSU rRNA". It matches the Rfam family "Bacterial small subunit ribosomal RNA", at positions 899 to 1397 of the family's 1533-position model. The record is from RNAcentral.
ACUCAAAUGAAUAGACGGGGGCCCGCACAAGCGGAGGAACAUGUGGUUUAAUUCGAUGAUACGCGAGGAACCUUACCCGGGCUUGAAAUGUACCUGACCGUCCUUGAAAAGGGACUUCUAGCAAUAGCAGGUAUGUAGGUGCUGCAUGGUUGUCGUCAGCUCGUGCCGUGAGGUGUCGGCUUAAGUGCCAUAACGAGCGCAACCCACAUUAUUAGUUACUAACAGGUUAAGCUGAGGACUCUAAUAAGACUGCCGUCGUAAGAUGCGAGGAAGGUGUGGAUGACGUCAAAUCAGCACGGCCCUUACGUCCGGGGCGACACACGUGUUACAAUGGGAGGUACAAAGGGCUGCUACCUGGUGACAGGAUGCUAAUCCCCAAAGCCUCUCCCAGUUCGGAUCGGAGUCUGCAACUCGACUCCGUGAAGCUGGAUUCGCUAGUAAUCGCGCAUCAGCCAUGGCGCGGUGAAUACGUUCCCGGGCCUUGUACACACCGCCCGU